CAGAGGAAUCUGCUGCCAUCUUGGACAGAUAUUUUUGCCAUGGCUGAGUCAGCGAUGAGUAUUCUGGAGAGAGAAGAUGGAGAAUUCUUCACUCACCUUCAAGGCACAUUCAGAAACAGUCUCACAGCUGACCCCAAAGUGCGAGCCAACGCUCAAGCUACAGGUGUGUCUGAAAAUGGAUACCAGCAGGAUCCAAGUGAGAAGCUCCUGGCAAGGCCGGUCCUGUUUCUCGGGAAGUGGAUGGCAGAGGGGUUUGUUGGCGUGCUGAGUUUGCCUGCUGUGCUGUUAGUCUGGGAUCAGCUGUUCAUGCAAAACUGGAACCCAGAUGUGCUGCAGAAUUUCUGCCUUUCCAUCCUCUUUCUGUUAAAGGAAUCCUUCAUGACAGCGAGUUGUUAUUCUGCAGUUCAAGAGGUAUUUCUCUCUUGUCCUUCCCAACUUCUCACGGCUGACAUCCAGAGAGCUUGGGUUCACUUGCAGCGAGGAGGUUUGCCUGCCGACAUCCCUGGUCUUAACAGGCUGAAUCAGAGCUGGAAAAAUGUAUUUGGGCUGUCGGAAAAUCUGGCCAACCGGAGUGAAGGAUAUUUUAUUGAAGAUAGUUUUGCCGGUUNUUCAGUCCGAGAUACCCCAGUCUGUCUUGCAAAAUGUUGCCCCUUCAGCCAUGAAAUUAACAGUUUCCGUGUUUUAUGGCUCUGAGAAGCUGCGUUCUAAGACAAGGCCUCUUCUGUGCAGAACCCAGGGUGAAGCAGCCUCUCUCCACGAAAUAGAAUUUGCUUCCCGUGCCGAUGGUAUGAUCCAGUUAUUACUGACUUUUGGAUGUUUAAAGUUGUCAUUAGCAGCAAAAGGUCGUUCAGACUUCUCCAGCCUGGUGUCUAAUUGGAUAGAAUUAAUCUCCCCUCAUUCUAUCCAAUUAUGUUUCCGUGAAUGAGUUUCUGUAAGCUGUUACCUAAUCUGGUGGUACACAUUUUCAUACAUAACCAUCUUAAUUUUAUUUAUUUAUGUGUUGUAUUUUGCCUACUUUGUGGUAACUCCGUGCAGCUAACAAGUGUCAGUAAAGCAUUAGAAGAAGGUGCAUAUUCUUUCCAGAAUGCAGUUGUGCCCCAAGUAAAUAAGUUAUCCUCAGGGGGAAAAAUGCACCUGCUAAAUAACUUACGAGCUAAUUUCUCUCUGUGUUUUAUAAUANAUUGCACAGAAUAAGUUGAUGCUGGGAUUGACUAAUGGCUGGAAGCAAAUAGAGAGGUUUAAUUAAAGCUCAAAAGCUAUUUAUUGUGAGCAUACUGCAAAUCAAUAGAGAACACUGCUGUUAUACAACUAGGCAGUACAUAAAUUUAUUUUUUUUUCACCCUAUCCUACACUCCUUUCUCACCUGACUCUUGCUGAGGGUUUGUAAAUGUUUCGCUGUUUGCAGUUUUGGCUGGUGGGAUGCUGUGCAGAAGAAACUGAUUAAAGGCGGGCUGUGAAAGUAGAAGACUACAUUGCUACUGAAAGCGUCCAUUAAGAGUUGGAGAAAGCAUUACAGGCCUCUUGGGGGAAGCUCAAAACACAUAAUCAGUUGUUAGUUUUGCGAAGGAGGGUCAGUUCCCAAGCCAUAAAAACUGUCAUGCCCUGUUGAUUGACAGGUAGAGAAGAAUCACGCGUUGGAAUUUUAUCUUGAAGAUUCCAUAGCUGUUAAGCAAGUUGNACAGGGACUUAACAG
Molecule: long non-coding RNA, 1693 nt
Organism: Salvator merianae (Argentine black and white tegu)
Lineage: Eukaryota; Metazoa; Chordata; Lepidosauria; Squamata; Teiidae
Source: Ensembl